RNAcentral lists this long non-coding RNA (43376 nucleotides) under Selaginella moellendorffii. RNAcentral's name for it is "long non-coding RNA (SMOE_LNC002165)". Lineage: Eukaryota; Viridiplantae; Streptophyta; Lycopodiopsida; Selaginellales; Selaginellaceae. The record is from RNAcentral.
CAGCGGCAACAUCGAAUGUUGCAGGCCGCGUUUUCGGUGAUGAGCCGGCAGGCCGAGCUUUUCAAUUCCGAAUUGCGCCUUCCUGUUGUUAACAAGAUCCACACUCUUCUCGAAAGAACCUCCCGGAGAAUGCUCAUCCAGGGUCAGCCCACGCCAGCUCCCGGGCCUUCCGGGUGCUGCCACGAUAAUUGAAGAGGCGGACAGCCACGUGGCUGACACGUCACGCUGGGCAGGCUCUUUUCAUCUAAAUCCUCCACCUUCCCCACCUCCGCUCCCUCCCAUUACAGUCACACAUCAAUUUACAGCUUGCGUCCAGGAGGCGGUUGUCUCACCAGGUGAAGGGAAAUGAUAAAGGCAACUUUCCAUUUUUCCUUGACUUGAGAGCUGCGUGGAAUUCCCAGAAGUUCCAGUCCAGCAAGUAAAGUCUCCACAAGACUUUCAGGGAUGUCUUGUACAGCUGCGAACAAUCAGCCGUGGUGGUGGCUUGCCCUUGUUCUGGCGAGAAGAUCUGCAAAGAGGAGCGGCUGCAGUGAGUCUUGAAGAUUCGCAGGUCGUUCGGAUUGGGCAUUGGGCAGCAAUGGCAAAGGCAGAUUUUCUCCCACUUGACGUGAUGGAGUCUCAUUGGAAUGCACGUCUGGUGAGAUGAUCAGCGCCUUGGAGACAGGAUUGUAGACCUUGUAAGCCUUGUGUUCAAUGCCAUAGCCUAGGAAAAUGCCUCGUUCGCUUGUUGGAGAGUUAUAGAGGGGAUAUGGACGCCAUGGAAGGUGCGCUAAUCCAUUCGAAUUCCACUUUGUGCAAGAACCCUUGACAAUCCUGGACCUCAACAUUGGCAAGCACUUAAACGCGUCUUUUGGUACUUCCGAGAUACGUUUUCUUACGGUCUUAAGGCCACGAGUCAAGCUUACUGGGCUGGCUUUGGCUAAAUUGUUUAGCCUUCACAAUGCAGUUAGCAGCAAGAAGAAGAGCGUCGUUGCCUGCUCCAGCUGUGAGGCGGAGGCUAGUUCCGCAUGCAAAGAGGCCAUCUGGCGUCGCCGCCUCCUCAACGACACCCCGCCCAACACCAAUCUACUGUGAGAAUCAAGGCUACGUCGCCUCGAGCAAACAUCACAAGAUUAAUUCCCGGACGAAACACGCACCACGCUGGGAGACACGUCCAGUUCUUUCCAUGUUCUUGUGAUUCCAAUCUCGAUAAUGCAAUCUUAAUUGAACAUCACAACAGCCUGGAAAUCGAGUCCACUGCUUCAUCCCACCAAACAAUCUGAUCUCGUGCACAGCAUGAAACGAACUCUCCUGAUAGAGCCAUACAGAACCUUCUCAUGUCCAGCCACUUGAUUAUUCUAUGCAGCACACUCAAAUACGUCCAGGUAAAUCUCGAAAUCCUCUCAAAGUAGGCUAAAGGAGAUACUUUCUCAUCUUGCCAAAAGCCCCUUCUAACAGGGUUAGAGAGGGCUUGGGUGAGUUGGCAAGGUGUAGUUUUGGUCUUUCCCUUGAAAGAUCAUGGACCUCACUUCACUACAGUGUCACCUUUAGCCCAUUACAAUGCUGCAUAAAGGGAUCACUGCGUUUGCUCAUUGUGGCGAGGGCGAGAAAGUCCUCGAUGGGAGCGUGGAAGGUGACACUCCGGCCUGCGCCUACAUCAGCUCCGUGAAUCGCAACAAGGAUUUCUUUCUUCUCGUGACAGGGGAUUUUAGGAUCGCGCCAGGCAGGGUCUGCAUGAUCGAUAUGUUCGGCUGGAGAAUGCCGAGGAAUUGCUGCGUGCCAUGCCGUUUGUGACGGAUGCUCUGGUUUGUAGGGUUUUGGUGGCAUCUUGCCGAUCGCAUUACGAUAUAUAUCGGGCAUUGGAUGGCAAAUCGCUCCAGGAGCGUGUUUAAAAUGGAAAUUGGCGGGAAAGCGAUGUGUUUGUUUUUUAUUCUAUCUAGCUGUGCUUACGAAAGUUUCCGAAAGGUAAGAGCUUUGGAAAAAUAAUUUAUUUAUAUAUGUAACUUAGUCAAGUCAGCCUCGCAACCUUUGGAGAAACUUUCAAGUCAUGCCGAUGAGCUCUCUCAACUUCUGGAUGAGACCACGGUCGUCAAUUUGGAACGCUUUCGCGAUCACGUCGUCGUUGAUUGGAGGAUUGGAAUCAAACACCGCCUUGGCCACCUGAGUCGCCCCGGGGUUUUGGCUGUUGAAGCCAGCCAUCGCAACCGCAGGCUCCUUUCCAACGUUGAGCUGGAAGUGGACGAGUCCCCUAGGGAAGACGAACAGAUCUCCAGGAUAGAGCAUUUGGGCGAAGAGCUUGUUGUCCGGCAAUGUGGUGACGAAUCCGACUAAGAGGUUCCCGUGCACGAGGAAGAGCAGCUCGGAUCCUCGGGGAUGGACGUGGGGGGGAUUGGUGCCGCCGGGAGCAUAGUCGAUGCGGGCAAAAGCUACACCAAAGGUGUUGAGACCGGGGAAAUUGUUGACACUCGCCAGCGUGACGUUGGAGCCGAGCUUGUUGUCGGUGUUCCCGGGAGUCGCCAGCAGGCUCGACUUGAAGUCCUCGGCUUUCACAUCGGCAGCCGCCUUGCAGACGACGCCAUUCACUUUGAUCUUGGAGCCAUUGUCUGCAACGCAAAAGUCCUGCAGCAUAUCUUCAUCCGCGGCAUGCACAAACAAGAUGGAGCUGAUUGCUAGGAGGAAGGAUAGAACAAAACGAAGAUGAGCCAUCUUGCGAGCUUGGAAAAGACUGAUGGAGCUAUAUGAGGGAGGGGCAGGCAUUUUAUAGCCGGAGGAGGGGAGGCGAGGUCCUUUGGAUGACUUCGUCGUGAAUCGUGCACGAUUUUAGGUACACGGUCUUCUGUUCCCUUCUAUUUCAUUUUUUACUCUUGCUGUCCGCGUAACACAAUCUGAUUUGUUUGCUGCCAAGUCGUCUCGGAAGUUUUCUUUUACCGGGCUUGUCUAGAGCCGUCAAAAUCAUCUUUUAUGUGUGUAGAUGAUGACGACUGAUGGUAAGAACCGGUCUCAGUGAAACUCGAGUUUUACACGGUCUUAAAAACUUGACACUAAAUUGCUUUAUUCUUCUACCAGAGACUUUUUAUGUGUGGAGUUUUAACGGAAUUAUUAUGGAUUGUGUAGGUCCAUUGCUGAUACAAAUAAACUAUGGGUAUAUCGACCAAAGGUACGUCUAUGUAGGUUAUCAAUUUUGCAGACAACUGUGUAGAAGGAUAGUUGCUCACAUAGUCAUGAGACAUACAUAGUCAUAGUCAUUGUGAUUAUUGCUUGCAUCAUUGUCAUGGGCAAAAUAGAAUGUUUAUUGCUGCUACUUUAUUAAUCACUUUAAUACAAUAAACUUAUGAUAUUAAAAAGUUUAAUAAUUUGUCCCACCAUUGCAAUCUAGGAAAGCAUCCAGUUGGGGUGGUGGGAGCGAACUAAGAAAACACUCCUGUGCUGCUGUGUGAGCAUGUCAAUCAGUCAGCUGACCUCAGUAUCAGUGGUCGUGGGCAGUGCAUUCUAAAGCUCUUGGACUUGUUGGGCAAAGUCGGGCACCCAUGCUGGCAUGACUUAGUCGUGGCCACAGUGAGUUCUGGUUGUUGAUAGGAGUGUUGUAAGCAGCAUACGCAUCCUAGUCAGACAUGAGGCGGUCAAGAACUCUUGGAAUUCCCCGCCAUACCAUUUUGUCAAGGAAAAAUCUAAACAGUACACCACAUUAUUAAAGAAUAGUUUGGCUGACCAAAAUGUAAUCGUUUGUACUACUCCUGUUCCAUCUAUGGUGCCCAAUUGUGUAGUGCUGUUAACAAUGUAGAGUUGGGAGGCACCAUUAGUCAUGUGGAUGUCCUCCGCUGCUGCCUGGUUCCAGGAGCCCUUCUGCUGUUGUUAGUUGAGCCUGCAAAGUCCAUUGCAAUAUUAAAAACGUUUAAUUGCCCAGCCAGUCUCACUGGUUUGAUCGGUCAGUGUAUAGUUUUAUCUUAAGAGUAACAUUCCACGAACUAGAGAGUAGAAUUUAGCUGCUCAACCAAAGUCCCACCCAUAUCCAUAACCCAUGCCUUGUCCACCAGUGGAAUCAACUCUCUGCGAGGAAAGAAAAUAAGAUCCAAGCACUAAUCACGCAAGUUUACCGCAGAUCAUGGCUCAUAACGAGCAACGUCCUCUCCUUCUUUAAGCACGCGAGGUAAGAAUGUAGCUUGGAAUUUUUGGUGAGGUGUUGCUGAUCUCUCUAUCUCUUGAAGCGCCCGAAGAGACAACGCAUGUUACUUUCGAUGAAUCGGCUGUUUCCCUCCCACAACCGGCCAAGACACACAACUCGGCUUGCAAAAAUGGCGAAGAGGUUUGCAAUUUUUUUUUUCCUUCUCUAUAUACUGAAGUCUCAAGCUUGCAAGGGUGCCAGAAUGCUGAAACGGAUUCUACCAGCCAGUGAGCAUGUUUACGUUUUGCGUGGCUACUGGUGAAAUUCAUGGUGUUCUUGCUUUUAAGGUUGCUUUGACUCAACUAUGCUGCCGCGAUGCGUCCCCAUCCUGAGAAGGUGCAAAGCUUACUUGCUAAUUUUUGUAGAUCUUCUAAGCUUUGCUGUUUACAGGCUCAAAGAGGGGGUGAAGAUGCCUUCGUCACAGAAGGCUCCUGGAUGGGUGUUGCUGAUGGUGUUGGGGGCUGGGCCGGAGAAGGUAAGACAAAUCUUUCUUUGAGUCUGUUUCUUCAAAAGAGUUUUUACUGGUUUUCAGGCAUUGAUUCGGGGAUGUAUUCUCGGGAGCUUAUGGGACACUGUGGCAUUGGUUGUAAACAGCAAAGGGAAACCGGACCCCAAGGACGUCAGUACAAAGGCCCAGGGAUCAGCAACGGUCCUUGUGGCUGCAUUGUUUGAGCAAGUAAGCUAGUCGGAUUUGAUGUUUGAGGCUGAGUCGGGUCAUAUAUUUCAGACAUGUACGCAGCAAACUUGGGAGACUUGGGUUCAUCAUAGUUCAAGCUCGGAGCCCAUGCAGCAUAGUUUUAACUUUCCGUUUCAAGUUGGAACAUUUGGUGACCAUCCGACGGUUGCAGAGGUACUCUUGCUUUUCCCUUAACUUCGCUAAUUUUCCGUCUACAGGAAUUCAAGAUCCCUGUCUGCAAGGGGGACAUCAUUGUUUUGGGAACUGAUGGCCUUUUUGACAAUCUCUUCAACAACGACAUAGUCGAAGUUCUUAAAAAAUCUGACCAAGUCAACUUGAAGGUGAACUCUCGCUGUUGAAGAAUCUCAAGAUUGCUAAUAUUCUCUUCACUUUACAGGCAUGUAGCUGGGGCGUAGGCCGAGCGUUUGGAUAGCCCGUUUGCUAGGGGGGCUGCAAAGGCGAGAAUGAAUUGGAGCGGUGGAAAGCUGUUGUGGCGUUUGUGACGUGAUAUUUGAGUCGCGAAGGGUAAACUUUUCAAGCAGUUUUUGCGGAGGCCAGUGUAAAUUGCUCAGGCCGCGGUAUUUCCGGUUCUUACGCUAAUUGAGGUAUGACACCCUUUUGAUUUUAUUCUUCGUGUCUUUGGUGUCUAGCCUUCAUUAGAAACUGGUUUAAAUCGCAGGUAAAUCUUCCUUUAAGAAAUCAAGGUUUUAUUCCAUCAGAAGGUUCACAGCCUGGAAGUUCUAGCCUCACUGGAGAUUGAACUCCGGACAGGACAGGUAUCUCUUCUGUUUAGAGGGAACUGCUCAGGGUGUUAGACAUGUCAGGGAAUCAGUUCAGCUGGACGAUCACGAGCCGGCAACAUGAUCUCUGGCUCGUCCUUCUCGGGGGUACAUGGAGCUGCUAGGCCUUUGGCGCGAUGGGAUCUUUCGCGACUGCGUGGCUCUCCAGGAGCUCUUCAACAGUCUCACUCCCCCGUCCAGCAGCAAACUCCGGAAUGUCAUUCUCGGUUCUACAUCUCUCAGCCAUCCAAAUGGGUGUGCGGGCUUAGAAGUGCUCGAACAACGUUUCGGAGGAGCUCGUGUGGGCCCUAUCAUGUCUCUCAGCUUGGGCAGACUCUUUGAGUUUGCUUGGAUCUCUCAGAGAACCAGUUGAAGGGGAUGGUUCUGAAGGACUAAGUGGUGGAAACCCUGCUACGGUCGAAUAGCAACAAAGAGCUCACAGAGAACAGCUUGAAGGACAGCUCCAGGCGAGCUCAUGUGGAGGAUCCUUGGAUACCACUUUCGUCCAGUACCGUGAGACUCCACCAGAAAGAUGGUGAGGAAGGUGGCGACAAGCCAAUUGGCUGGAGCUGUGACUUCCUUCUUUGUCUCGAGUAUUUGGUCGCGUGUCCCGUCCACAUGGUGAGCCACGGAAUUGUUUCUUAGUUGCUCAAAUCUUAAUUCUUUCUGAUCUCCAGGUUGGUAAUCACCAUUACCAAAUAAGAGGAAUUUUUUGCAUUGAGGCUUUGCAGUUCGGUAGGCGACGAAGAAAAACUUUCCAGGAUCGGAGGAUGAAAAGUUACAGCCCAAGCUUGCUGUUCUUCGUGCUCCUCUUCUCCGCUGCGGCACUGAUACUCGUAUGGAUUCUCGACAUAAAUUCCGACUCCGCAAUGAUGUCCCGGAGCCGAACUCUGGGAUCAAACUUCCGCAUCAGCAACAACACCACAAGCUACAAGGGCAGCGACACUUGCAGGAGUAGGAACGAGUACGACUUCUACAGCCGCCGAAGAUCAGCGAGCUUCGAGCCAUCCGAGUCGGUCCAACGGAAAAUCAUAGAGUACGAGGCUUUGCACGGGAGGUGCGCUCCGGGCCCGAGCAGUGCGCGAACUGUAGUACAUGCGGCUACCUCGUCUACGUUCCCGCCAACCAGGGGAUCGGCAACAAGAUGGUGGCUAUAGUAGCAGCGUUUCUCUACGCGCUGCUCACCGACAGGACGAUGCUGAUCGCGAGGUUGGAGAACCUGGACACGCUCUUCUGCGAGCCGUUUCCAUCCAGCUCCUGGCUGCUGCCGUCGAGCUGGAAGCACCUCGAGUUGGCGCCGUGGGACGCCUCCAAGUGGAUUGGGAGCCUGGCGGGUUCGCCCAACUGCAGCCGCGGCGUCGACGUGAGCUUCCCCGAGGUGGUGGUGGCCUAUCUCGAUUACAACUACAGGGACCAGGACAAGGCCUUCUUCUGCCAAGAUCAACAGCAAGCUCUCAACUCCAGCGCGCGGUGGAUCGUCCUCUCCUCCGGCCAGUACUUCACUCCGGCGCUCUACAACGUCCCGACUUUCAGGAGCAAACUCGAGGAAUUGUUCCCACAGCAGGAGGCCAUCUUCCAUCUCCUGGUGAGGUACCUGUUGCUUCCCAGUGACUUCGUGUGGGACAAGGCGGCCAGGUACUACGACGCAUACCUCGAAACCACAUCUGGUUCUCGCCACCCAACCUCGCCGAGGAUACGUUCGACUGCCUGGUGCAACAAGGCGCGCUCGCAAACACCACCCAGGAGCGAGCUCCCAGAUCGUCGGUGCGAGCUCCCAGAUCGUCGGUGCGAGCUCCCAGAUCGUCGGUGAGGAAGAACAGCAAGAAGGUGGCGGUGCUGGUGGUGUCGCUCAACUCGCAGUACUCGGAGACGCUCAAGAGCAAGGUGCUGGGAUACGAUCUAGCGGACGGUUCCUCGGUGUCCAUCCACCAGCCGAGCGUGGAGGGGGUGCAAAACACAGGGAACUUGGAUCACGACGCACAGGCGGUGAUGGAGAUCCACUUGCUGUCGAUGAGCGAUGUCCUGGUGACGAGCCCGCCAUCCACGUUUGGCUACUCGGCGGCGGGGCUGGCGGGCGUGAGGCCCGUGCAGUUCGUGUGCGACCAGAGCGUGGUUUGCUCAGUGAGGGAGACGAUGGAGCCGUGCUACCACGUUUAUCCGGCUCAGUUCGCGCUGGACAACAUUGAAAAGUGCGAAUGCGGUGGGGUUUCAGACUAGUCUAAAGGACAUUCUUAGAAAGGGUGUUGUCUUAGAAAGUUCUAAGAUUUUAUUUUCUUUUUCGUGAUAGAUUUCUAAGUUGCUCCUUGGCUGCAUGAUGCAAAUCUAGCGUCUUUUGUAGAUUUGCGUGGUCAGGUCAUGCUCUUGGCCCACGCAAAGUUGCGCCAAGGCUGCCUUGAAAUCCGACAUACACGGAACAGGUAAUUUGCUACCAAGAGCUUAUAGACUUCAAAUGGCGAGCUGUCUUUUGUGCAGGACUUUGAAAAACUGCCCAUAUAGUGUUCUGGCUUGGAAGCUAACGAUUCUUAUUUUGACAGAUGGCACGCGCAAAGGACUUGACUGUUUACCAAGCCCGGUGCUGUUUGUGUGAAUAUAAAACAGUGGAGGCCCAUUGGAUCCAAUUGUAUCGGAGCAAGCACGGCUCUUGGUUCUUAUACAACGAUAUCAUCACUAUGUUUAGUGCUUUUGUGGCUGGAAUGAAUCGUGGAAAGAUACUUCUUGCCAUCGCAUUGGUGAUCAUGAUCAGCGGCAACAUCGAAUGUUGCAGGCCGGGCUCGUUUUCGGUGAUGAGCCAGCAGGGCGAGCUUUUCAAUUCCGAAUUGCACUUUCCUGUUGUUAAAAAGAUCCACACUCUUCUCGAAAGAACCUCCCGGAGAAUGCUCACCCAGGGUCAGCCCACGCCAGCUCCCGGCCCUUCCGGGUGCUGCCACGAUAAUUGAAGUGGCGGACAGCCACGUGGCUGACACGUCAUGCAAGGCUCUUUCCAUCUGGCGGCGAAUUCUCCUCCAAAUCCUCCACCUCCACUCCUUUCCCCAUUCUUCCCCACCUCCGCUCCCUCCCAUUACAGUCACACAUCAAUUUACCCAGCUUGCGUCCAGGAGGCGCUUGUCUCACCAAGGUGAAGGGGAAUGAUAAAGGCAACUUUCCAUUUUUCCUUGACUUGAGAGCUGCGUGGAAUUCCCAGAAGUUCCACUCCAGCAAGUAAUGUCUCCACAAGACUUUCAGGGAUGUCUUGUACAGCUGCGAGCAAUCAGCCGUGGUGGUGGCUUGCCCUUGUUCUGGCGAGAAGAUCUGCAAAGAGGAGCGGCUGCAGUGAGUCUUGAAGAUUCGCAGGUCGUUCGGAUUGGGUAUUGGGCAGCACUGGCAAAGGCAGAUUUUCUCCCACUUGACGUGAUGGAGUCUCAUUGGAAUGCACGUUUGGUGAGAUGAUCAGCGCCUUGGAGACAGGAUUGUAGACCUUGUAAGCCUUGUGUUCAAUGCCAUAGCCUAGGAAAAUGCUUCGUUCGCUUGUUGGAGUGUGUUUUUUUUCUAGUUAUAGAGGGGAUAUGGACGCCAUGGAAGGUGCGCUAAUCCAUUCGAAUUCCACUUUGUGCAAGAACCCUUGACAAUCCUGGACCUCAACAUUGGCAAGCACUUAAACGAGUCUUUUGGUACUUCCGAGAUACGUUUUCUUACGGUCUUAAGGCCACAAGUCAAGCUUACUGGGCUGGCUUUGGCUAAAUUGUUUAGCCUUCACAAUGCAGUUGGCAGCAAGAAGCAGAGCGUCCUUGCCUGCUCCGGCUGUGAGGCGGAGGCUAGUUCCGCAUGCAAAGAGGCCAUCUGGCUUUGCCGCCUCCUCAACGACACCCGGCCCAACACCAAUCUACUGCAACAAUCAAGGCUGCAUCGCCUUGAGCAAACAUCACAAGAUUAAUUCCCGGACGACACACGCACCACGCUGAGAGACACGUCCAGUUCUUUCCAUGUUCUUGUGAUUUCAAUCUCGAUAAUGCAAUCUUAAUUGAACAUCACAACAGCCUGGAAAUCGAGUCCGCUGCUUCAUCCCACCAAACAAUCUGAUCUCGUGCACAGCAUGAAACAAACAUUCUCUGUGCCUCUCCUGAUAGAGCCAUACAGAACCUUCUCAUGUCCAGCCACUUGAUUAUUAUAUGCAGCACACUCAAAUACGUCCAGGUAAAUCCCGAAAUCCUCUCAAAGUAGGCUAAAGGAGAUACUUUGUCAUCUUGCCAAAAGUCCCUUCUAACACAUGCUUGAGGGUUAGAGAGGGCUUGGGUGAGUUGGCAAGGUGUAGUUUUGGUCUUUCCCUUGAAAGAUCAUGGACCUCACUUAACUACAGUAUCACCUUUAGCCCAUUACAAUGCUGCAUAAAGGGAUCACUGCGUUUGCUCAUUGUGGCGAGGGCGAGAAAGUCCUCGAUGGGAGCGUGGAAGGUGACACUCCGGCCUGCGCCUACAUCAGCUCCGUGAAUCGCAACAAGGAUUUCUUUCUUCUCGUGACAGGGGAUUUUAGGAUCGCACCAGGCACAGGCAACUGGAGAAUGCCAAGGAAUUGCUGCGUGCCAUGCCGUUUGUGCCGGAUGCUCUGGUUUGUAGGGUUUUGGUGGCAUCUUGCCGAUCGCAUUACGAUAUAUUUCGGGCAUUGGAUCGACGUAUGUCCUGGCAAAUCGCUCCAGGAGCGUGUUUAAAAUGGAAAUUGGCGGGAAAGCGAUGUGUUUGUUUUUUAUUCUAUCUAGCUGUGCUUAUGAAAGUUUCCGAAAGGUAAGAGCUUUGGAAAAAUAAUUUAUUUAUAUAUGUAACUUAGUCAAGUCAGCCUCGCAACCUUUGGAGAAACUUUCAAGUCAUGCCGAUGAGCUCUCUCAACUUCUGGAUGAGACCACGGUCGUCAAUCUGGAACGCUUUCGCGAUCACGUCGUCGUUGAUUGGAGGAUUGGAAUCAAACACCGCCUUGGCCACCUGAGUCGCCCCGGGGUUUUGGCUGUUGAAGCCAGCCAUCGCAACCGCAGGCUCCUUUCCAACGUUAAGCUGAAAGUGGACGAGUCCCCGAGGGAAGACGAACAGAUCUCCAGGAUAGAGCAUUUGGGCGAAGAGCUUGUUGUCCGGCAAGGUGGUGACGAAUCCGACUAAGAGGUUCCCGUGCACGAGGAAGAGCAGCUCGGAUCCUCGGGGAUGGACGUGGGGGGGAUUGGUGCCGCCGGGAGCAUAGUCGACGCGGGCAAAAGCUACACCAAAGGUGUUGAGACCGGGGAAAUUGUUGACACUCGCCAGCGUGACGUUGGAGCCGAGCUUGUUGUCGGUGUUCCCGGGAGUCGCCAGCAGGCUCGACUUGAAGUCCUCGGCUUUCACAUCGGCGGCCGCCUUGCAGACCACGCCGUUCACUUUGAUCUUGGAGCCAUUGUCCGCAACGCAAAAGUCCUGCAGCAUAUCUUCAUCCGCGGCAUGCACAAACAAGAUGGAGCUGAUUGCUAGGAGGAAGGAUAGAACAAAACGAAGAUGAGCCAUCUUGCGAGCUUGGAAAAGACUGAUGGAGCUAUAUGAGGGAGGGGCAGGCAUUUUAUAGCCGGAGGAGGGAAGGCGAGGUCCUUUGGAUGACUUCGUCGUGAAUCGUGCACGAUUUUAGGUACACGGUCUUUUCUUCCCUUCUAUUUCAUUUUUUACUCUUGCUGUCCGCGUAACACAAUCUGAUUUGUUUGCUGCCAAGUCGUCUCAGAAGUUUUCUUUUACCGGGCUUGUCUAGAGCUGUCAAAUUCAUCUUUUAUGUGUGUAGAUGAUGACGACCUUGGUUUUGAUGGUCAGAAUGAAACUCGAGUUUUACACGGUUUUAAAAACUUGACACUAAAUUGCUUUGUUCUUCUACCAGAGACUUUUUAUGUGUGGAGUUUUAACGGAAUUAUUAUGGAUUGUGUAGGUCCAUUGCUGAUACAAAUAAACUAUGGGUAUAUCGACCAAAGGUACGUCUAUGUAGGUUAUCAAUUUUGCAGACAACUGUGUAAAAGGAUAGUUGCUCACAUAGUCAUGAGACAUACAUAGUUAUAGUCAUUGUGAUUAUUGCUUGCAUCAUUGUCAUGGGCAAAAUAGAAUGUUUAUUGCUGCCACUUUAUUAAUUAGUUUAAUGCAAUAAACUUAUGAUAUUAAAAAGUUUUAUAAUUUGUCCCACCAGUGCAAUCUAGGAAAGCAUCCAGUUGGGGUGGUGGGAGUGAACUGAGAGAUACUCCUAUGCUGCUGUGUGAGCAUGUCAAUCAGUCAGCUGACCUCAGUAUCAGUGGUCGUGGGCAGUGCAUUCUAAAGCUCUUGGACUUGUUGGGCAAAGUCGGGCACCCAUGCUGGCAUGACUUGGUCGUGAUUCUGGUUGUUGAUAGGAGUGUUGUAAGUAGCAUAUGCAUCCUAGUCAGACAUGAGGCGGUCAAGAACUCUUGGAAUUCCCUGCCAUUGCAAAGAAACAAAGAAAAAAUAUCAAUGGCUAACUUUCAUUCACCAUUUUGUCAAGGAAAAAUCUAAACAAUACACCACAUUAUUAAAGAAUAGUUUGGCUGACCAAGAUGUAAUCGUUUGUACUACUCCUGUUCCAUCUAUGGUGCCCAAUUGUGUAGUGCUGUUAAUAAUGUAGAGUUGAGAGGCAUUAUUAGUCAUGUGGAUGUCCUCUGCUGCUGCCUGGUUCGAGGAGCCCUUCCGCUGUUGUGAGUUGAGCCUGCAAAGUCCGUUGCAAUAUUAAAAACGUUUAACUGCCCAGUCAGCCUCACUGGUUUGAUCGGUCAGUGUAUAGUUUUAUCUUAAGAGUAACAUUCCACGAACUAGAGAGUAGAAUUUAGCUGCUCAACCAAAGUCCCACCCAUAUCCAUAACCCAUGCCUUGUCCACCAGUGGAAUCAACUCUCUGCGAGGAAAGAAAAUAAGAUCCAAGCACUAAUCACGCAAGUUUACCGCAGAUCAUGGCUCACAACGAGCAACGUCCUCUCCUUCUUUAAGUACGCGAGGUAAGAAUGUAGCUUGGAAUUUUUGGUGACGUGUUGCUGAUCUCUCUAUCUCUUGAAGCGCCCGAAGAGACAACGCAUGUUACUUUCGAUGAAUCGGCUGUUUCCCUCCCACAACCGGCCAAGACACACAACUCGGCUUGCAAAAAUGGCGAAGAGGUUUGCAAUUUUUCUUUCCUUCUCUAUAUACUGAAGUCUUAAGCUUGCAAGGGUGCCAGAAUGCUGAAACGGAUUCUACCAGCCAGUGAGCUUGUUUACGUUUCGCGUGGCUAUUGGUGAAAUUCAUGGUGUUCUUGCUUUUAAGGUUGCUUCGACUCGACUAUGCUGCGGCGAUGCGUCCCCAUCCUGAGAAGGUGCAAAGCUUACUUGCUAAUUUUUGUAGAUCUUCUAAGCUUUGCUGUUUACAGGCUCAAAGAGGGGGUGAAGAUGCCUUCGUCACAGAAGGCUCCUGGAUGGGUGUUGCUGAUGGUUCUGGGGGCUGGGCCGGAGAAGGUAAGACAAAUCUUUCUUUGAGUCUGUUUCUUCAAAAGAGUUUUUACUGGUUUUCAGGCAUUGAUUCGGGGAUGUAUUCUCGGGAGCUUAUGGGACACUGUAAGGCAUUGGUUGUAAACAGCAAAGGGAAACCGGACCCCAAGGACGUGCUUGUCAAAGCCGCCGGCAGUACAAAGGCCCAGGGAUCAGCAACGGUCCUUGUGGCUGCAUUGUUUGAGCAAGUAAGCUAGUCGGAUUUGAUGUUUGAGGCUGAGUCGGGUCAUAUAUUUCAGACAUGUACGCAGCAAACUUGGGAGACUUGGGUUCAUCAUAGUUCGCAAUUGGCAAGUAGUUGCAAGCUCGGAGCCCAUGCAGCAUAGUUUUAACUUUCCGUUUCAAGUUGGAACAUUUGGUGACCAUCCGACGGUUGCAGAGGUACUCUUGCUUUUCCCUUAACUUCGCUAAUUUUCCGUUUACAGGAAUUCAAGAUCCCUGUCUGCAAGGGGGACAUCAUUGUUUUGGGAACUGAUGGCCUUUUUGACAAUCUCUUCAACAACGACAUAAUCGAAGUUCUUAAAAAAUCUGACCAAGUCAACUUCAAGGUGAACUCUCGCUGUUAAGAUUGCUAAUAUUCUCUUCACUUUACAGGCAUGUAGCUGGGACGUAGGCCGAGCGUUUGGACAGCCCGUUUGCUAGGGGGGCUGCAAAGGCGAGAAUGAAUUGGAGCGGUGGAAAGCUGUUGUGGCGUUUGUGACGUGAUAUUUGAGUCGCGAAGGGUAAACUUUUCAAGCAGUUUUUGCGGAGGCCAGUGUAAAUUGCUCAGGCCGCGGUAUUUCCGGUUCUUACGCUAAUUGAGGUAUGACACCUUUUUGAUUUUAUUCAAACGGCUCAUCUUCGUGUCUUUGGUGUCUAGCCUUCAUUAGAAACUGGUUUAAAUCGCACGUAGCUGCUGCUGAAUCUUCCUUUAAGAAAUCAAGGUUUUGUUCCAUCAGAAGCUUCACAGCGUGGAAGUUCUAGCCUCACUGGAGAUUGAACUCCGGACAGGACAGGUAUCUCUUCUGUUUAGAGGGAACUGCUCAGGGUGUUAGACAUGUCAGGGAAUCAGUUCAGCUGGACGAUCACGAGCCGGCAACAUGAUCUCUGGCUCGUCCUUCUCGGGGGUACAUCGAGCUGCUAGGCCUUUGGCACGAUGGGAUCUUUCGCAACUGCGUGGCUCUCCAGGAGCUCUUCAACAGUCUCACUCCCCCGUCCAGCAGCAAACUCCGGAAUGUCAUUCUCGGCUCUACAUCUCUCAGCCAUCCAAAUGGGUGUGCGGGCUUGGAAGUGCUCGAACAACGUUUCGGAGGAGCACGUGUGGGCUGUAUCUUGUCUCUCAGCUUGGGCAGACUCUUUGAGUUUGCUCGGAUCUCUCGGAGAACCGGUUGGAGGGGCUGGUUCUGAAGGACUAAGUGGUGGAAACCCUGCUACGGUCGGAUAGCAACAAAGAGCUCACGGAGAACAGCUUGAAGGACAGCUCCAGGCGAGCUCGUGUGGAAGAUCCUUGGAUACCGCUCUCAUCCCAGUACCGUGAGACUCCACCAGAAAGAUGGUGAGCGACGAAGUCAAUUGGCUGGAGCUGUGAGUUCCUUCUUCGUCUUGAGUAUUUGGUCGCGUGUCCCGUCCACAUGGUAAGCCACGGAAUUGUUUCUUAGUUGCUCAAAUCUUAAUUCUUUCUGAUCUUCAGGUUAGUAAUCACCAUCACCAACUAAGAGGAAUUUUUUGCAUUGAGGUGGAGUUCGGGAGGCAACUUUCCAGGAUCGGAGGAUGAAAAGUUACAGCCCGAGCUUGCUGUUCUUCGUGCUCCUCUUCUCCGCUGCAGCACUGCUACUCAUAUGGGUUCUCGACAUAAAUUCCGACUCUGCGAUGAUGUCCCGGAGCCGAACUCUGGGAUCAAACUUCCGGAUCAGCAACAACACCACAAGCUACAACGGCAGCGACACUUGCAGGAGCAGGAACGAGUACGACUUCUACAGCCGCCGAAGAUCGACGAGCUUCGAGCCAUCCGAGUCGCUCCAAAGGAAAAUCCUAGAGUGGAGGCUUUGCGCGGGAGGUGCGCUCCGGGGCCCGAGCAGUGCGCGAACUGUAGUACAUGCGGCUACCUCGUCUACGUUCCCGCCAGCCAGGGGAUCGGCAACAAGAUGGUGGCUAUAGUAGCAGCGUUUCUCUACCCGCUGCUCACCGACAGGACGAUGCUGAUCGCGAGGUUGGAGAACCUGGACACGCUCUUCUGCGAGCCGUUUCCACCCAGCUCCUGGCUGCUGCCGUCGAGCUGGAAGCACCUCGAGUUGGCGCCGUGGGACGCCUCCAAGUGGAUUGGAAGCCUGGUGGGAUCGCCCAACUGCAGCCGCGGCGUCGACGUGAGCUUGGUGGCCUAUCUCGAUUACAACUACAGGGACCAGGACAAGGCCUUCUUCUGCCAAGAUCAACAGCAAGCUCUUAACUCCAGCGCGCGGUGGAUCGUCCUCUCCUCCGGCCAGUACUUCACUCCGGCACUCUACAACGUCCCGGCUUUCAGGAGCAAGCUCGAGGAAUGGUUCCCACAGCAGGAGGCCAUCUUCCAUCUCCUGGUGAGGUACCUGUUGCUUCCCAGUGACUUCGGGACAAGGCGGCCAGGUACUACGACGCGUACCUGGCCCAGGCCGAGCUUCUAGUCGGGGUCCAGCUGCGAAGCCACAUCUGGUUCUCGCCACCCAACCUCGCCGAGGAUACGUUCGACUGCCUGGUGCAACAAGGCGCGCUCGCAAACACCACCCAGGAGCGAGCUCCCAGAUCGUCGGUGAGGAAGAACAGCAAGAAGGUGGCGGUGCUGGUGGUGUCGCUCAACUUGCAGUACUCGGAGACGCUCAAGAGCAAGGUGCUGGGAUACGAUCUAGCGGACGGCUCCUCGGUGUCCAUCCACCAGCCGAGCGUGGAGGGCGUGCAAAACACAGGGAACUUGGAUCACGACGCACAGGCGGUGAUGGAGAUCUACUUGCUGUCGAUGAGCGAUGUCCUGGUGACGAGCCCGCCAUCCACGUUUGGCUACUCGGCGGCGGGGCUGGAGGGCGUGCGGCCCGUGCAGUUCGUGUGCGACCAGAACAAGAGCGUGGUCUGCUCGGUGAGGGAGACGAUGGAGCCGUGCUACCACGUUUAUCCGGCUCAAUUCGCGCUGGACAACAUUGAAAAGUGCGAAUGCGGCAUGGGUUUCAGACUAGUCUAAAGUACAUUCUUAGAAAGGGUGUUGUCUUAGAAAGUUCUUAAAGCUUUUAAAAUUUUAUUUUCUUUCUCGUGAUAGAUUUCUAAGUUGCUCCUUGGCUGCAUCACGCAAAUCUAGCGUCAUUUGUAGACUUGCGUGGUCAGGUCAUGCUCUUGGCCCAUGCAAAGUUGCACCAAGGCUGCCUGGAAAUCCAGGUAAUUUGGUACCAAGAGCUUAUAGACUUCAAAUGGCGAGCUGUCUUUUGUGCAGGACUUUGAAAAACUGCUCGUAGAGUGUUCUGGCUUGGAAGCUAACGAGUCUUGUUUUGACAGAUGGCACGUGCAAAGGACUUGACUGUUUACCAAGCCCGGUGGAGAACUUUCUAUGUGAAUGAAUAUAAAACACUGGAGGCCCAUUGGAUCCAAUCGUAGCAGAGCAAGCACAGCUCUUGGUUCUUAUACAACGAUAUCAUCACUACGUUUAGUGCUUUUGUGGCUGGAAUGGAUCGUGGAAGGAUACUUCUUGCCAUCACAUUGGUGAUCAUGAUCAGCGGCAAUAUCGAUUGUUCCAGGCCAGGCUCAUUUUUGGUGAUGAGCCAACAGGCCGAGCUUUUCAAUUUCGAAUUGCGCCUUCCUGUUGCUAACAAGAUCCACACUCUUCUCGAAAGGACCUCCCGGAGAAUGCUCAUCCAGGGUCAGCCCACGCCACCCUCCGGCCCUUCCGAGGACAACCACGAUCAUGAUUGAAGAGGCGGACAGCCACGUGGCUGACACGUCACGCAAGGAGACACGUCAGGCUCUUUCCAUCUGGCGGCGAAUUCUCCUCCAAAUCCUUCACCUCCACUUCUUUUCCCAUUCUUUCGCACCUCCGCUCCCUCCCAUUACAGUCACACACCCAGCAUGCGUCCAGGAGGGGACGUCUCACCAAGGUGUGGGGAAUGAUAAAGGCAACUUUCCAUUUUUCCCUGUCAACUUCAAGAGACUUGAGAGCCGCUUGGAAUUCCCAGAAGUUCCACUCCAGCAAGUAAAGUCUCCACAAAACUUUCAGGGAUGUCGUGUACAGCUGCGAGCAAUCAGCCGUGGUGGUGGCUUGCCCUUGUUCUGGCGAGAAGAUCUGCAAAGAGGAGCGGCUGCAGUGAGUCUCGAAGAUUCGCAGGUCGUUCGGAUUGGGCAUGGCUUGAGGGCCGGGCAGGGCAGGAGGGACAAGAGCCGGUGGUGCUAGAGCAGGCUGCAGAGGGAAGUGGGCAGCACUGGCAAAGGCAGAUUUUCUCCCACUUGACGUGAUGCAGUCUCAUUGAAAUGCACGUCUGGUGAGAUGAUCAGCGUCUUGGAGACAGGAUUGUAGACUUUGUAAGCCAAUGCUAUAGCCUAGGAAAAUGCCUCGUUCGCUUGUUGAAGUGAGUUUUUUUCUAGUUUUAGAGGGGAUAUGGACGCCAUGGAAGGUGCGCUAAUCCAUUUGAAUUCCACUUUGUGCAAGAACUUGACAAUCCUGGACCUCAACAUUGGCAAGCACUUAAACGUGUCUUACGAGAUAUGUUUCCUUACAGUCUUAAGGCCACGAGUCAAGCUUACUGGGCUGGCUUUGGCUAUAUUGUUUAGCCUUCACAAUGCAAUUGACAGCAAGAAGAAGAGCGUCGUUGCCUGCUCCAGCUGUGAGGCGGAGGCUAGUUCCGCAUGCAAAGAGGCCAUCUGGCUUCGCCACCUCCUCCUCAACGACACCCGGCCCAACACCAAUCUACUGUGACAAUCAAAGCUACAUUGCCUCGAGCAAACAUCACAAGAUUAAUUCCCGGACAAAACACGCACUAGGCUAAAGGAGAUAUUUUCUCAGCUUGCCAAAAGCCUCUUCUAACACAUGCUUGAGGGUUAGAGAGGGCUUGGGUGAGUUGGCAAGGUGUAGUUUUGGUCUUUCCCUUGAACAUUGUAAGAUCAUGGACCUCACUUCACUACAGUGUCACCUUUAGCCCAUUACAAUGCUGCAUAAAGGGAUCACUGCGUUUGCUCAUUGUGGCGAGGGCGAGAAAGUCCCGGAUGGGAGCGUGGAAGGUGACACUCCGGCCUGCGCCUACAUCAGCUCCGUGAAUCGCAUCAAGGAUUUCUUUCUUCUCGUGACAGGGGAUUUUAGGAUCGCACCAGGCACAGCUAACUGGAGAAUGCCAAGGAAUUGCUGCGUGCCAUGCCGUUUGUGCCGGAUGCUCUGGUUUGUAGGGUUUUGGUGGCAUCUUGCCGAUCGCAUUACGAUAUAUUUCGGGCAUUGGAUCGACAUAUGUCCUGGCAAAUCGCUCCAGGAGCGUGUUUAAAAUGGAAAUUGGCGGGAAAGCGAUGUGUUUGUUUUUUAUUCUAUCUAGCUGUGCUUACGAAAGUUUCCGAAAGGUAAGAGCUUUGGAAAAAUAAUUUAUUUAUAUAUGUAACUUAGUCAAGUCAGCCUCGCAACCUUUGGAGAAACUUUCAAGUCAUGCCGAUGAGCUCUCUCAACUUCUGGAUGAGACCACGGUCGUCAAUCUGGAACGCUUUCGCGAUCACGUCGUCGUUGAUUGGAGGAUUGGAAUCAAACACCGCCUUGGCCACCUGAGUCGCCCCGGGGUUUUGGCUGUUGAAGCCAGCCAUCGCAACCGCAGGCUCCUUUCCAACGUUAAGCUGAAAGUGGACGAGUCCCCGAGGGAAGACGAACAGAUCUCCAGGAUAGAGCAUUUGGGCGAAGAGCUUGUUGUCCGGCAAGGUGGUGACGAAUCCGACUAAGAGGUUCCCGUGCACGAGGAAGAGCAGCUCGGAUCCUCGGGGAUGGACGUGGGGGGGAUUGGUGCCGCCAGGAGCAUAGUCGACGCGGGCAAAAGCUACACCAAAGGUGUUGAGACCGGGGAAAUUGUUGACACUCGCCAGCGUGACGUUGGAGCCGAGCUUGUUGUCGGUGUUCCCGGGAGUUGCCAGCAGGCUCGACUUGAAGUCCUCGGCUUUCACAUCGGCGGCCGCCUUGCAGACCACGCCGUUCACUUUGAUCUUGGAGCCAUUGUCUGCAACGCAAAAGUCCUGCAGCAUAUCUUCAUCCGCGGCAUGCACAAACAAGAUGGAGCUGAUUGCUAGGAGGAAGGAUAGAACAAAACGAAGAUGAGCCAUCUUGCGAGCUUGGAAAAGACUGAUGGAGCUAUAUGAGGGAGGGGCAGGCAUUUUAUAGCCGGAGGAGGGGAGGCGAGGUCCUUUGGAUGACUUCGUCGUGAAUCGUGCACGAUUUUAGGUACACGGUCUUCUCUUCCCUUCUAUUUCAUUUUUUUACUCUUGCUGUCCGCGUAACACAAUCUGAUUUGUUUGCUGCCAAGUCGUCUCGGAAGUUUUCUUUUACCGGGCUUGUCUAGAGCCGUCAAAAUCAUCUUUUCUGUGUGUAGAUGAUGACGACCUUGGUUUUGAUGGUAAGAACUGGUCUCAGUGAAACUCGAGUUUUACACGGUCUUGGUAAAAACUUGACACUAAAUUGCUUGGCACCAGAGUUUUAACGGAAUUAUUAUGGAUUGUGUAGGUCCAUUGCUGAUACAAAUAAACCAUGGGUAUACUGACCAAAGGUACGUCUAUGUAGGUUAUCAAUUUUGCAGACAACUGUGUUGUUAGAAGGAUGGUUGCUCACAUAGUCAUGAGACAUACAUAGUCUUAGUCAUUGUGAUUAUUGCUUGCAUCAUUGUCAUGGGCAAAAUAGAAUGUUUAUUGCUGCCACUUUAUUAAUUAGUUUAAUGCAAUAAACUUAUGAUAUUAAAAAGUUUUAUAAUUUGUCCCACCAGUGCAAUCUAGGAAAGCAUCCAGUUGGGGUGGUGGGAGUGAACUGAGAGAUACUCCUAUGCUGCUGUGUGAGCAUGUCAAUCAGUCAGCUGACCUCAGUAUCAGUGGUCGUGGGCAGUGCAUUCUAAAGCUCUUGGACUUGUUGGGCAAAGUCGGGCACCCAUGCUGGCAUGACUUGGUCGUGAUUCUGGUUGUUGAUAGGAGUGUUGUAAGUAGCAUAUGCAUCCUAGUCAGACAUGAGGCGGUCAAGAACUCUUGGAAUUCCCUGCCAUUGCAAAGAAACAAAGAAAAAAUAUCAAUGGCUAACUUUCAUUCACCAUUUUGUCAAGGAAAAAUCUAAACAAUACACCACAUUAUUAAAGAAUAGUUUGGCUGACCAAGAUGUAAUCGUUUGUACUACUCCUGUUCCAUCUAUGGUGCCCAAUUGUGUAGUGCUGUUAAUAAUGUAGAGUUGAGAGGCAUUAUUAGUCAUGUGGAUGUCCUCUGCUGCUGCCUGGUUCGAGGAGCCCUUCCGCUGUUGUGAGUUGAGCCUGCAAAGUCCGUUGCAAUAUUAAAAACGUUUAACUGCCCAGUCAGCCUCACUGGUUUGAUCGGUCAGUGUAUAGUUUUAUCUUAAGAGUAACAUUCCACGAACUAGAGAGUAGAAUUUAGCUGCUCAACCAAAGUCCCACCCAUAUCCAUAACCCAUGCCUUGUCCACCAGUGGAAUCAACUCUCUGCGAGGAAAGAAAAUAAGAUCCAAGCACUAAUCACGCAAGUUUACCGCAGAUCAUGGCUCACAACGUCCUCUCCUUCUUUAAGUACACGAGGUAAGAAUGUAGCUUGGAAUUUUUGGUGAGGUGUUGCUGAUCUCUCUAUCUCUUGAAGCGCCCGAAGAGUCAACGCAUGUUACUUUCGAUGAAUCGGCUGUUUCCCUCCCACAACCGGCCAAGACACACAGCUCGGCUUGCAAAAGUGACGAAGAGGUUUGCAAAUUUUUUUCCCUUCUCUAUAUACUGAAGUCUCAAGCUUGCAGGGGUGCCAGAAUGCUGAAACGGAUUCAAAUCUCACAUCCCGAGUCAAUGCUAUUGCCGACAUAUUGUCACAGUAGAGUUUGACUGCUGGAAUUUGAAUCCCGAGGUCCUGCAGCAAUGUCUUAAGCCAGAUGGCCUCUUUCGCUGCUGCUGCAGCUGUGAUGUAUUCAGAUUUGCAUGAGAACAUCGUAGUGAUCUAUUGCCUCUUGGAACACUAACUAACCAUGUGAUGGUUAUACAUGAAGACAUACCCUGAGGUGGAUCUUUUGUCAUCUGGAUCUCCUGCCCAGUCUACAUCUGUGAAUCCCACCAGGCCGUUGUCUCCAUCUCCUCUUGCAUAUUUUAGUGUGAAUUUCCUUGUGCCACUCAUAUACCUCAUGAUCUGCUUCACAACGGCUCAAUGUGAGGGUGAUGGAUUGUCCAGGAACUUUGAGACUGCUCCCACAUUGAAUGCGAGGUCAAGCUUAGUUGAGACCAUCAAGUAGAUGAGGCUCCCGACCACUGAACGGUACAGUGUUGUGGUCUCCUCCUCGGGAGUGUCAUCAGAGGUUGAUGUCAAACUUCUCCAGAGGUAUUCUAUGCUUAACGCUAAUCCGGUGGCUACUCCUAUGGAAGUAGGCUCAAAGUUGUCCAAAGCUUUUAUGUCAUGGAUGUAUUUAGGAGAGCUCAAGUACUCCACAUUGCUUAUCAGUGCAAGUUUCCCAGAUCCGUCAUCUCAAAUCUAGCAGCGAGAGAGGCCUUGAUGUGGUGGAUGAGUUGUAUCUAGUUAUUGUAUCGUCCACAUAUAAGGCUAAGAAUAGAAAUCCUUGGCCAUCUCGGUAUAUGUAGAGAUUAUUAUCAGCCGUGCUACGAGUAAAGCCCAACGAGGUCAGAAAGUUGUUAAUUUUAGUGUACCAUGACCUGGGCCUUUGUUUCAGCCCGUAGAGAGCGUCACCACAUUGCCGGACAACAAGCUCUUCGCCCAAAUGCUCUAUCCCGGAGAUCUGUUCGUCUUCCCUCGGGGACUCGUUCACUUCCAGCUCAAUGUUGGAAAGGAGCCUGCGGUUGCGAUGGCUGGCUUCAACAGCCAAAACCCCGGGGCGACUCAGGUGGCCAAGGCGGUGUUUGAUUCCAAUCCUCCAAUCAAUGACGACGUGAUCGCGAAAGCGUUCCAGAUUGACGACCGUGGUCUCAUCCAGAAGCUGAGAGAGCUCAUCGGCAUGACUUGAAAGUUUCUCCAAAGGUUGCGAGGCUGACUUGACUAAGUUACAUAUACAAAUAAAUUAUUUUUCCAAAGCUCUUACCUUUAGAUAGUGGAGACUUUCGUAAGCACAGCUAGAUAGAAUAAAAAACAAACACAUCGCUUUCCCGCCAAUUUCCAUUUUAAACACGCUCUUGGAGCGAUUUGCCAGGACAUAUGUCGAUCCAAUGCCCAAAACAUAUCGUAAUGCGAUCGGCAAGAUGCCACCAAAACCCUACAAACCAGAGCAUCCGGCACAAACGAGCAAUUCCUCGGCAUUCUCCAGUUGCCUGCCACGGCCGAAGAUAUCGAUCAUGCAGACGAACUGAUCCCUGCCUGGCGCGAUCCUAAAAUCCUCUGUCACGAGAAGAAAGAAAUCCUUGUUGCGAUUCACGGAGCUGAUGUAGGCACAGGCCGGAGUGUCACCUUUCUCAUUGCGCCCUCGCCACAAUGAGCAAACGCAGUGAUCCCUUUAUGCAGCAUUGUAAUGGGCUAAAGGUGACACUGUAGUGAAGUGAGGUCCAUGAUCUUACAAUGUUCAAGGGAAAGACCAAAACUACACCUUGUCAACUCACCCAAGCCCUCUCUAAGGGGCUUUUGGCAAGAUGACAAAGUAUCUCCUUUAGCCUACUUUGAGAGGAUUUCGGGAUUUACCUGGACGUAUUUGAGUGUACUGCAUAUAAUAAUCAAGUGGCUGGACAUGAGAAGGUUCUGUAUGGCUCUAUCAGGAGAGGCACAGAGAAUGUUUGUUUCAUGCUGUGCACGAGAUCAGAUUGUUUGGUUGGAUGAAGCAGUGGACUCGAUUUCCAGGCUGUUGUGAUGUUCAAUUAAGAUUGCAUUAUCGAGAUUGGAAUCACAAGAACAUGGAAAGAACUGGACGUGUCUCCCAGCGUGGUGCGUGUUUCGUCCGGGAAUUAAUCUUGUGAUGUUUGCUCGAGGCGAUGUAGCCUUGAUUGUCACAGUAGAUUGGUGUUGGGCCGGGUGUCGUUGAGGAGGCGGCGAAGCCAGAUGGCCUCUUUGCAUGCGGAACUAGCCUCCGCCUCACAGCUGGAGCAGGCAACGACGCUCUUCUUCUUGCUGCUAACUNNNNNNNNNNNNNNNNNNNNNNNNNNNNNNNNNNNNNNNNNNNNNNNNNNNNNNNNNNNNNNNNNNNNNNNNNNNNNNNNNNNNNNNNNNNNNNNNNNNNNNNNNNNNUCAAUGUUGAGGUCCAGGAUUGUCAAGGGUUCUUGCACAAAGUGGAAUUCGAAUGGAUUAGCGCACCUUCCAUGGCGUCCAUAUCCCCUCUAUAACUAGAAAAAAAACACACUCCAACAAGCGAACGAAGCAUUUUCCUAGGCUAUGGCAUCUCACCAGACGGGCAUUUCAAUGGGACUGCAUCACGUCAAGUGGGAGAAAAUCUGCCUUUGCCAGUGCUGCCCAUUUCCCUCUGCAGCCUGCUCUAGCACCACCGGCUCUUGUCCCUCCUGCCCUGCCCGGCCCUCAAGCCAUGCCCAAUCCGAACGACCUGCGAAUCUUCGAGACUCACUGCAGCCGCUCCUCUUUGCAGAUCUUCUCGCCAGAACAAGGGCAAGCCACCACCACGGCUGAUUGCUCGCAGCUGUACACGACAUCCCUGAAAGUUUUGUGGAGACUUUACUUGCUGGAGUGGAACUUCUGGGAAUUCCAAGCGGCUCUCAAGUCUCUUGAAGUUGACAGGGAAAAAUGGAAAGUUGCCUUUAUCAUUCCCCACACCUUGGUGAGACGUCCCCUCCUGGACGCAUGCUGGGUGUGUGACUGUAAUGGGAGGGAGCGGAGGUGCGAAAGAAUGGGAAAAGAAGUGGAGGUGAAGGAUUUGGAGGAGAAUUCGCCGCCAGAUGGAAAGAGCCUGACGUGUCUCCUUGCGUGACGUGUCAGCCACGUGGCUGUCCGCCUCUUCAAUCAUGAUCGUGGUUGUCCUCGGAAGGGCCGGAGGGUGGCGUGGGCUGACCCUGGAUGAGCAUUCUCCGGGAGGUCCUUUCGAGAAGAGUGUGGAUCUUGUUAGCAACAGGAAGGCGCAAUUCGAAAUUGAAAAGCUCGGCCUGUUGGCUCAUCACCAAAAAUGAGCCUGGCCUGGAACAAUCGAUAUUGCCGCUGAUCAUGAUCACCAAUGUGAUGGCAAGAAGUAUCCUUCCACGAUCCAUUCCAGCCACAAAAGCACUAAACGUAGUGAUGAUAUCGUUGUAUAAGAACCAAGAGCUGUGCUUGCUCUGCUACGAUUGGAUCCAAUGGGCCUCCAGUGUUUUAUAUUCAUUCACAUAGAAAGUUCUCCACCGGGCUUGGUAAACAGUCAAGUCCUUUGCACGUGCCAUCUGUCAAAACAAGACUCGUUAGCUUCCAAGCCAGAACACUCUACGAGCAGUUUUUCAAAGUCCUGCACAAAAGACAGCUCGCCAUUUGAAGUCUAUAAGCUCUUGGUACCAAAUUACCUGGAUUUCCAGGCAGCCUUGGUGCAACUUUGCAUGGGCCAAGAGCAUGACCUGACCACGCAAGUCUACAAAUGACGCUAGAUUUGCGUGAUGCAGCCAAGGAGCAACUUAGAAAUCUAUCACGAGAAAGAAAAUAAAAUUUUAAAAGCUUUAAGAACUUUCUAAGACAACACCCUUUCUAAGAAUGUACUUUAGACUAGUCUGAAACCCAUGCCGCAUUCGCACUUUUCAAUGUUGUCCAGCGCGAAUUGAGCCGGAUAAACGUGGUAGCACGGCUCCAUCGUCUCCCUCACCGAGCAGACCACGCUCUUGUUCUGGUCGCACACGAACUGCACGGGCCGCACGCCCUCCAGCCCCGCCGCCGAGUAGCCAAACGUGGAUGGCGGGCUCGUCACCAGGACAUCGCUCAUCGACAGCAAGUAGAUCUCCAUCACCGCCUGUGCGUCGUGAUCCAAGUUCCCUGUGUUUUGCACGCCCUCCACGCUCGGCUGGUGGAUGGACACCGAGGAGCCGUCCGCUAGAUCGUAUCCCAGCACCUUGCUCUUGAGCGUCUCCGAGUACUGCAAGUUGAGCGACACCACCAGCACCGCCACCUUCUUGCUGUUCUUCCUCACCGACGAUCUGGGAGCUCGCUCCUGGGUGGUGUUUGCGAGCGCGCCUUGUUGCACCAGGCAGUCGAACGUAUCCUCGGCGAGGUUGGGUGGCGAGAACCAGAUGUGGCUUCGCAGCUGGACCCCGACUAGAAGCUCGGCCUGGGCCAGGUACGCGUCGUAGUACCUGGCCGCCUUGUCCCGAAGUCACUGGGAAGCAACAGGUACCUCACCAGGAGAUGGAAGAUGGCCUCCUGCUGUGGGAACCAUUCCUCGAGCUUGCUCCUGAAAGCCGGGACGUUGUAGAGUGCCGGAGUGAAGUACUGGCCGGAGGAGAGGACGAUCCACCGCGCGCUGGAGUUAAGAGCUUGCUGUUGAUCUUGGCAGAAGAAGGCCUUGUCCUGGUCCCUGUAGUUGUAAUCGAGAUAGGCCACCAAGCUCACGUCGACGCCGCGGCUGCAGUUGGGCGAUCCCACCAGGCUUCCAAUCCACUUGGAGGCGUCCCACGGCGCCAACUCGAGGUGCUUCCAGCUCGACGGCAGCAGCCAGGAGCUGGGUGGAAACGGCUCGCAGAAGAGCGUGUCCAGGUUCUCCAACCUCGCGAUCAGCAUCGUCCUGUCGGUGAGCAGCGGGUAGAGAAACGCUGCUACUAUAGCCACCAUCUUGUUGCCGAUCCCCUGGCUGGCGGGAACGUAGACGAGGUAGCCGCAUGUACUACAGUUCGCGCACUGCUCGGGCCCCGGAGCGCACCUCCCGCGCAAAGCCUCCACUCUAGGAUUUUCCUUUGGAGCGACUCGGAUGGCUCGAAGCUCGUCGAUCUUCGGCGGCUGUAGAAGUCGUACUCGUUCCUGCUCCUGCAAGUGUCGCUGCCGUUGUAGCUUGUGGUGUUGUUGCUGAUCCGGAAGUUUGAUCCCAGAGUUCGGCUCCGGGACAUCAUCGCAGAGUCGGAAUUUAUGUCGAGAACCCAUAUGAGUAGCAGUGCUGCAGCGGAGAAGAGGAGCACGAAGAACAGCAAGCUCGGGCUGUAACUUUUCAUCCUCCGAUCCUGGAAAGUUGCCUCCCGAACUCCACCUCAAUGCAAAAAAUUCCUCUUAGUUGGUGAUGGUGAUUACUAACCUGAAGAUCAGAAAGAAUUAAGAUUUGAGCAACUAAGAAACAAUUCCGUGGCUUACCAUGUGGACGGGACACGCGACCAAAUACUCAAGACGAAGAAGGAACUCACAGCUCCAGCCAAUUGACUUCGUCGCUCACCAUCUUUCUGGUGGAGUCUCACGGUACUGGGAUGAGAGCGGUAUCCAAGGAUCUUCCACACGAGCUCGCCUGGAGCUGUCCUUCAAGCUGUUCUCCGUGAGCUCUUUGUUGCUAUCCGACCGUAGCAGGGUUUCCACCACUUAGUCCUUCAGAACCAGCCCCUCCAACCGGUUCUCCGAGAGAUCCGAGCAAACUCAAAGAGUCUGCCCAAGCUGAGAGACAAGAUACAGCCCACACGUGCUCCUCCGAAACGUUGUUCGAGCACUUCCAAGCCCGCACACCCAUUUGGAUGGCUGAGAGAUGUAGAGCCGAGAAUGACAUUCCGGAGUUUGCUGCUGGACGGGGGAAUGAGACUGUUGAAGAGCUCCUGGAGAGCCACGCAGUCGCGAAAGAUCCCAUCGCGCCAAAGGCCUAGCAGCUCCAUGUACCCCCGAGAAGGACGAGCCAGAGAUCAUGUUGCCGGCUCGUGAUCGUCCAGCUGAACUGAUUCCUUGACAUGUCUAACACCCUGAGAAGUUCCCUCUAAACAGAAGAGAUACCUGUCCUGUCCGGAGUUCAAUCUCCAGUGAGGCUAGAACUUCCAGGCUGUGAACCUUCUGAUGGAACAAAACCUUGAUUUCUUAAAGGAAGAUUCAGCAGCAGUUACCUGCGAUUUAAACCAGUUUCUAAUGAGCAAAGACACGAAGAUGAGCCGUUUGAAUAAAAUCAAAAGGGAGUCAUACCUCAAUUAGCGUAAGAACCGGAAAUACUGCGGCCUGAGCAAUUUACACUGGCCUCCGCAAAAACUGCUUGAAAAGUUUACCCUUCGCGACUCAAAUAUCACGUCACAAACGCCACAACAGCUUUCCACCGCUCCAAUUCAUUCUCGCCUUUGCAGCCCCCCUAGCAAACGGGCUGUCCAAACGCUCGGCCUACGCCCCAGCUACAUGCCUGUAAAGUGAAGAGAAUAUUAGCAAUCUUGAGAUUCUUCAACAGCGAGAGUUCACCUUCAAGUUGACUUGGUCAGAUUUUUUAAGAACUUCGACUAUGUCGUUGUUGAAGAGAUUGUCAAAAAGGCCAUCAGUUCCCAAAACAAUGAUGUCCCCCUUAGACAGGGAUCUUGAAUUCCUGUAGACGGAAAAUUAGCGAACUUAAGGGAAAAGCAAGAGUACCUCUGCAACCGUCGGAUGGUCACUAAAUGUUCCAACUUGAAACGGAAAGUUAAAACUAUGCUGCAUGGGCUCCGAGCUUGCAACUACUUGCCAAUUGCGAACUAUGAUGAACCCAAGUCUCCCAAGUUUGCUGCGUACAUGUCUGAAAUAUAUGACCCGACUCAGCCUCAAACAUCAACUCCGACUAGCUUACUUGCUCAAACAAUGCAGCCACAAGGACCGUUGCUGAUCCCUGGGCCUUUGUACUGCCGGCGGCUUUGACAAGCACGUCCUUGGGGUCCGGUUUCCCUUUGCUGUUUACAACCAAUGCCUUACAAUGUCCCAUAAGCUCCCGAGAAUACAUCCCCGAAUCAAUGCCUGAAAAGCAGUAAAAACUCUUUUGAAGAAACAGACUCAAAGAAAGAUUUUUCUUACCUUCUCCGGCCCAGCCCCCAACACCAUCAGCAACACCCAUCCAGGAGCCUUCAGUGACGAAGGCAUCUUCACCCCCUCUUUGAGCCUGUAAACAGCAAAGCUUAGAAGAUCUACAAAAAUUAGCAAGUAAGCUUUGCACCUUCUCAGGAUGGGGACGCGUCGCAGCAGCAUAGUCCAGUCGAAGCAACCUUAAAAGCAAGAACACCAUGAAUUUCACCAAUAGCCACGCGAAACGUAAACAAGCUCACCGGCUGCUAGAAUCCGUUUCAGCAUUCUGGCACCCUUGCAAGCUUGAGACUUCAGUAUAUAGAGAAGGAAAGAAAAAUUUGCAAACCUCUUCGCCAUUUUUGCAAGCCGAGUUGUGUGUCUUGGCCGGUUGUGGGAGGGAAACAGCCGAUUCAUCGAAAGUAACAUGUGUUGUCUCUUCGGGCGCUUCAAGAGAUAGAGAGAUCAGCAACACCUCACCAAAAAUUCCAGGCUACAUUCUUACCUCGCGUGCUUAAAGAAGGAGAGGACGUUGCUCGUUGUGAGCCAUGAUCUGCGGUAAACUUGCGUGAUUAGUGCUUGGAUCUUAUUUUCUUUCCUCGCAGAGAGUUGAUUCCACUGGUGGACAAGGCAUGGGUUAUGGAUAUGGGUGGGACUUUGGUUGAGCAGCUAAAUUCUACUCUCUAGUUCGUGGAAUGUUACUCUUAAGAUAAAACUAUACACUGACCGAUCAAACCAGUGAGGCUGGCUGGGCAAUUAAACGUUUUUAACAUUGCAACGGACUUCGCAGGCUCAACUAACAACAGCGGAAGGGCUCCUGGAACCAGGCAGCAGCGGAGGACAUCCACAUGACUAAUGGCGCCUCCCAACUCUACAUUGUUAACAGCACUACACAAUUGGGCACCAUAGAUGGAACAGGAGUAGUAUAAAUGAUUACAUUUUGGUCAGCCAAACUAUUCUUUAAUCAUGUGGUGUACUGUUUAGAUUUUUCCUUGACAAAAUGGUAUGGCGGGGAAUUCCAAGAGUUCUUGACCGCCUCAUGUCUGACUAGGAUGCAUAUGCUGCUUACAACACUCCUAUCAACAACCAGAACUCACUGUGGUCACGACUAAGUCAUGCCAGCAUGGGUGCCCGACUUUGCCCAACAAGUCCAAGAGCUUUAGAAUGCACUGCCCACGACCACUGAUACUGAGGUCAGCUGACUGAUUGACAUGCUCACACAGCAGCACAGGAGUAUUUUCUCAGUUCACUCCCACCACCCCAACUGGAUGCUUUCCUAGAUUUCACUGGUGGGACAAAUUAUAAAACUUUUUAAAAUCAUAAGUUUAUUGUAUUAAACUGAUUAAUAAAGUGGCAGCAAUAAACAUUCUAUUCUGCCCAUGACAAUGAUGCAAGCAAUAAUCACAAUGACUAUGACUAUGUAUGUCUCAUGAACUAUCCUUCUACACAGUUGUCUGCAAAAUUGAUAACCUACAUAGAUGUACCUUUGGUCGAUAUACCCAUAGUUUAUUUGUAUCAGCAAUGGACCUACACAAUCCAUAAUAAUUCCGUUAAAACUCCACACAUAAAAAGUCUCUACAAAGCAAUUUAGUGUCAAGUUUUUAAGACCGUGUAAAACUCGAGUUUCACUGAGACCGGUUCUUACCAUCAAAACCAAGAUCGUCAUCAUCUACACACAUAAAAGAUGAUUUUGACGGCUCUAGACAAGCCCGGUAAAAGAAAACUUCCGAGACGACUUGGCAGCAAACAAAUCAGAUUGUGUUACGCGGACAGCAAGAGUAAAAAAUGAAAUAGAAGGGAACAGAAGACCGUGUACCUAAAAUCGUGCACGAUUCACGACGAAGUCAUCCAAAGGACCUCGCCUCCCCUCCUCCGGCUAUAAAAUGCCUGCCCCUCCCUCAUAUAGCUCCAUCAGUCUUUUCCAAGCUCACAAGAUGGCUCAUCUUCGUUUUGUUCUAUCCUUCCUCCUAGCAAUCAGCUCCAUCUUGUUUGUGCAUGCCGCGGAUGAAGAUAUGCUGCAGGACUUUUGCGUUGCAGACAAUGGCUCCAAGAUCAAAGUGAACGGCGUCGUCUGCAAGGCGGCCGCCGAUGUGAAAGCCGAGGACUUCAAGUCGAGCCUGCUGGCGACUCCCGGGAACACCGACAACAAGCUCGGCUCCAACGUCACGCUGGCGAGUGUCAACAAUUUCCCCGGUCUCAACACCUUUGGUGUAGCUUUUGCCCGCGUCGACUAUGCUCCCGGCGGCACCAAUCCCCCCCACGUCCAUCCCCGAGGAUCCGAGCUGCUCUUCCUCGUGCACGGGAACCUCUUAGUCGGAUUCGUCACCACCUUGCCGGACAACAAGCUCUUCGCCCAAAUGCUCUAUCCUGGAGAUCUGUUCGUCUUCCCUCGGGGACUCGUCCACUUCCAGCUUAACGUUGGAAAGGAGCCUGCGGUUGCGAUGGCUGGCUUCAACAGCCAAAACCCCGGGGCAACUCAGGUGGCCAAGGCGGUGUUUGAUUCCAAUCCUCCAAUCAACGACGACGUGAUCGCGAAAGCAUUCCAGAUUGACGACCGUGGUCUCAUCCAGAAGUUGAGAGAGCUCAUCGGCAUGACUUGAAAGUUUCUCCAAAGGUUGCGAGGCUGACUUGACUAAGUUACAUAUAUAAAUAAAUUAUUUUUCCAAAGCUCUUACCUUUCGGAAACUUUCGUAAGCACAGCUAGAUCGCUUUCCCGCCAAUUUCCAUUUUAAACACGGUCCUGGAGCGAUUUGCCAGGACAUACGUCGAUCCAAUGCCCGAAACAUAUCGUAAUGCGAUCGGCAAGAUGCCACCAAAACCCUACAAACCAGAGCAUCCGGCACAAACGGCAUGGCACCAGCAAUUCCUCGGCAUUCUCCAGUUGCCUGCCACGGCCGAAGAUAUCGAUCAUGCAGACGAAGUGAUCACUGCCUGGCGCGAUCCUAAAAUCCCCUGUCACGAGAAGAAAGAAAUCCUUAUUGCGAUUCACGGAGCUGAUGUAGGCGCAGGCCGGAGUGUCACCUUUCCCAUUGCGCCCUUGCCUCAAUGAGCAAACGCAGUGAUCCCUUUAUGCAGCAUUGUAAUGGGCUAAAGGUGACACUGUAGUGAAGUGAGGUCCAUGAUCUUACAAUGUUCAAGGGAAAGACCAAAACUACACCUUGUCAACUCACCCAAGCCCUCUCUAAGGGGCUUUUGGCAAGAUGACAAAGUAUCUCCUUUAGCCUACUUUGAGAGGAUUUCGGGAUUUACCUGGACGUAUUUGAGUGUACUGCAUAUAAUAAUCAAGUGGCUGGACAUGAGAAGGUUCUGUAUGGCUCUAUCAGGAGAGGCACAGAGAAUGUUUGUUUCAUGCUGUGCACGAGAUCAGAUUGUUUGGUUGGAUGAAGCAGUGGACUCGAUUUCCAGGCUGUUGUGAUGUUCAAUUAAGAUUGCAUUAUCGAGAUUGGAAUCACAAGAACAUGGAAAGAACUGGACGUGUCUCCCAGCGUGGUGCGUGUUUCGUCCGGGAAUUAAUCUUGUGAUGUUUGCUCGAGGCGAUGUAGCCUUGAUUGUCACAGUAGAUUGGUGUUGGGCCGGGUGUCGUUGAGGAGGCGGCGAAGCCAGAUGGCCUCUUUGCAUGCGGAACUAGCCUCCGCCUCACAGCUGGAGCAGGCAACGACGCUCUUCUUCUUGCUGCUAACUGCAUUGUGAAGGCUAAACAAUUUAGCCAAAGCCAGCCCAGUAAGCUUGACUCGUGGCCUUAAGACCGCAAGAAAACGUAUCUCGGAAGUACGAAAAGACGCGUUUUAGUCAAUGUUGAGGUCCAGGAUUGUCAAGGGUUCUUGCACAAAGUGGAAUUCGAAUGGAUUAGCGCACCUUCCAUGGCGUCCAUAUCCCCUCUAUAACUAGAAAAAAAACACACUCCAACAAGCGAACGAAGCAUUUUCCUAGGCUAUGGCAUUGAACACAAGGCUUACAAGGUCUACAAUCCUGUCUCCAAGGCGCUGAUCAUCUCACCAGACGUGCAUCCAAUGAGACUCCAUCACGUCAAGUGGGAGAAAAUCUGCCUUUGCCAGUGCUGCCCAAUGCCCAAUCCGAACGACCUGCGAAUCUUCAAGACUCACUGCAGCCGCUCCUCUUUGCAGAUCUUCUCGCCAGAACAAGGGCAAGCCACCACCACGGCUGAUUGCUCGCAGCUGUACACGACAUCCCUGAAAGUCUUGUGGAGACUUUGAACUUCUGGGAAUUCCAAGCGGCUCUCAAGUCUCUUGAAGUUGACAGGGAAAAAUGGAAAGUUGCCUUUAUCAUUCCCCUCACCUUGGUGAGACAAGCGCCUCCUGGACGCAUGCUGGGUGUGUGACUGUAAUGGGAGGGAGCGGAGGUGCGGAAGAAUGGGAAAAGAAGUGGAGGUGGAGGAUUUGGAGAAUUCACCGCCAGAUGGAAAGAGCCUGACGUGUCUUCUUGCGUGACGUGUCAGCCACGUGGCUGUCCGCCUCUUCAAUCAUGAUGGUGGUUGUCCUCGGAAGGGCCGGAGGGUGGCGUGGGCUGACCCUGGAUGAGCAUUCUCCGGGAGGUCCUUUCGAGAAGAGUGUGGAUCUUGUUAACAACAGGAAGGCGCAAUUCGGAAUUGAAAAGCUCGGCCUGCUGGCUCAUCACCGAAAACGAGCCCGGCCUGGAACAUUUGAUGUUGCCGCUGAUCAUGAUCACCAAUGCGAUGGCAACAAGCAUCCUUCCACGAUCCAUUCCAGCCACAAAAGCACUAAACGUAGUGAUGAUAUCGUUGUAUAAGAACCAAGAGCUGUGCUUGCUCCGAUACGAUUGGAUCCAAUGGGCCUCCAGUGUUUUAUAUUCACAGAAAAAGUUCUUCACCGGGCUUGGUAAACAGUCAAGUCCUUUGCGCGUGCCAAUGUCAAAACAAGACUCGUUAGCUUCCAAGCCAGAACACUCUACGAGCAGUUUUUCAAAGUCCUGCACAAAAGACAGCUGCUGCCCUAGCAAAUGGGCUGUCCAAACGCUCGGCCUGCGCCCCAGCUAUAUGCCUGUAAAGUGAGGAGAAUAUUAGCAAUCUUGAGAUUCUUCAACAGCGAGAGUUCACCUUCAAGUUGACUUUGUCGGACCCAAGAGAUUUUUUAAGAACUUUGAUUAUGUCGUCGUUGAAGAGAUUGUCAAAAAGGCCAUCAGUUCCCAAAACAAUGAUGUCCCCCUUGCAGACAGGGAUCUUGAAUUCCUGUAGACAGAAAAUUAGCGAAUUUAAGGGAAAAGCAAGAAUACCUCUGCAACCGUUGGAUGGUCACCAAAAGUUCCAACUUGAAACAGAAAGUUAAAACUAUGCUGCAUGGGCUCCGAGCUUGCAACUACUUGCCAAUUGCGAACUAUGAUGAACCCCGAGUCUCCCAAGCUUGCUGCAUACAGUGUCUGAAACAUAUGACCCGACUCAGCCUCAAACAUCAAAUCCGACUAGCUUAGUUGCUCAAACAAUGCAGCCACAAGAACCGUUGCUGAUCCUUUGGCCUUUGUACUGUGGAGACAAUUGAUGACAAGUCUCCACAUCAGCAAAAAAGACAUGUCAUUCAUCCAAGACACCAACCACCAAGAGUCACACCCAUACUGUUAUGUACAUAACCAUACCAAAGCAAUGAAGUCGAUAGAGCAUUCUGCGUACACUGGCAAACACAGCAACACAACGAGCAGGACCACGCUAGGGCUCUUGUAGUCCUUGCUAGGGUGGAACGACAGAUUCAAGAACGCAAGUGAGCACAACAUGAUGUCCAUCCGUGCUUCUACCCUAAUUGUCGCUCUAUGUGCAUGGCGUAUGGGCGUCCCUUCCAGUGAUUCCCACUGCCUCUUCCCCGCCCCUGCCCCCGCCCCCGCCCCCCCCCCCCCCCCCCUCGCUUCUAGCUUACUCUAUUGUUUUGUCCUUUCUUCUAGAAACUAAUGGCUACCAGUACUCCACCUCGCACUACAUCUAGAACCACCCUAGCGAGCACCAUGGCCAUCCUGGCUGGCAACUAAGAUGUAGGAUGGGAGAAGCUACUCUAGAAGUUCACAGGCGAGAACUUCACAACUUGGAAGACCAAAGUCCAAUUAAUCCUAAUGGCAAAAAAUUGUUGAGAUUUGGUGGAGGGAACCGAAGUGAGACCUCAAGAUAUAGAAGCAGCCUUGCAAGCUACUUAAGACUCUAAGAACGGCAAAGCCCUUUCCGUGAUUGGACUAGGUCUUGGAGAUGAAUUUAUUCAUCUCCUUGAUCUAGAAAAAUCCGCCAAGGCCAAUUGGGACUCCCUUUCCCAAGUCUUUGUAGCCAAAGCUGCUAAUGCUAAAUUGGUUCUGACCCAGAAAUUUUUCUCCCUAUGCAUGCAGCCUGGUGAGAUGAUGGCAACAUACAUUGGGAAGCUCAAGGGUUUAAUGCAGCAGCUGAAGGAAGUAGGUGCUGCAGUUUCCGAUGACUAUGCAAAAGCCUUCUUGCUCUACUCUGUAUCUUAAGAGUUGCAACAAUUGUCCUCCAUGCUUUCUUUUGUCCCAGGCAAAACCAUGGAGGAGCUCUACUCUGAUCUACUCAAGGAAGAGCACAAGAUUGCUGAGCGUCAAGCUGGCCAUCAAGGAUCCCCUCAAGCUGCUCGCGAGCAGGCCUUGUUUCUUGGUAAGAAACAAUCGAGUGGGGAGUAGAGGAAAGGAGGCACUAGCCGUGGGCCUCGUAUCUCUUCUGCUACAACUCCCAGCUCUUGAUUUAACUUCUCCAAGAAGAAAAAAGGUCCUUGCAACUAUUGUGGAAAGAUGGGGCAUGUCGAGUGUGAGUGUUGUGCAAAGAAGGCUGCCACCCAGCACAUGCUUACCCAGAGCAACUUGUUGUUGAUGAUGGCUCUUUACCCGUCACCGGUGUCUGCUCUUGAGGUUCUAUGGCUGGAUAGUGGUGCCUCUUUUCACAUGACUCCCUUAAGGUCUGCCUUUCACACUUACAAGGCUCUUCAAGCUCCACAACAGGUUUAUGUCGGCGACAAGCGACCACUCUAGGUGGAAGGUCGUGGCAUGGUGGUGAUCAGGCUAUCCACUGGACCUUUUAAGGAGGUUCAUCACGUGCACUUUGUACCUGAAGCAGCACAUACAGUUCUUUCUAUAGGUGUAGCCUCAGAUCAAGGCUUUACUACCACCUUCUUCCCAAAAGGGUGCACCAUCUAUGGUCGUGAUGGUACUUCUGUAGCUAGUGGCAUGAGGUAUGAAACACUCUACUGUUUAAAUGCAGAAUUGGUUUUUCCAACUCAAGUGCUUGCUUUCUGAGCACAAGACACCAUUGAGCUCUGGCAUGCUCGUCUGGGGCAUGUCAAUGAACGAGAUCUACAUGCCUUGGCUCGUAACCAGCAUGCUAAAGGCAUCAUGCUCCCAACUGGCCAUCUAGGCGUGUGUGAAACUUGCUAUCUUGGGAAGCAAGUUCACCUUCCUUUUCCAUCAAGAACCAUGGAGGACCAAGCUACAGGCUUAUUGGAUCUGGUUCACAAUGACGUGUGCUACUUGCCAUGGAAACACUCAGCCACAAGAGGUACUUUGUGUCUUUUAUCAAUGACCAUUCCAGAUAUGCUGUGGUGAGCCUUCUCCAUGCCAAGAGCGAAGUGUUCAACCACUUUAAGCUUUUUAAGAGCUGGGCAGAGACGUCUACUGGCCAAAAGAUUCGUGUGUUACGCACAGAUGGUGGUGGAGAGUACCUGAACAAAGAGUUUCUCAACUUUCUAGCUGAGGCUAGCAUUGUUCACCAGUACACAACAGCCCAUACUCCCCAACAGAACGGCAUGGCAGAGCACCUCAAUCGCAUGCUACUAGAGACUGUUUGUUGCCUUCUCCAACACACAAGCAUACCCAACUCUUUUUGGGGUGAAGCCAUUAACACGGUUGUUUAUAUCCGUAAUCGCCUUCCCACAAGGAGCACUGGUGUGGUUCCUUAUCAAGCUUGGACUGGGAAGUGUCCUCAGUUAGGGCACUUGAGGGUCUUUCGCUGCACAAUGUAUGCUUGCAUUCCAGAUGCGACUCGGCAGAAGCUGGAUCCUAGGAGCCAGAAGACCAUCUUCGUGGGCUAUCAUGCUCAUUCCAAGGCCUAUCACCUACCUCUAUAAUCUUGCUCUCAAGAAGCUCGUGGUCAGCCAAGAUGUCUCUUUCAAUGAGCAAGAUCUUUAUCGCCACAUUCAAGGUACUAUUCCUUCAAGUUCUAACUUGGUGGACUUGACCCCAGUGCUGGAAGACGAGCUCACCCACCCACCAACACCAGCAAUCCAAAGGCUACUCGUUCCAGAAGGAGGAACACCUCUUCCACUUGGUGAUGAACCUUCUCCAGCAACUCUGCUGCUACCAGUUCCUCUAGUCACUUCGGUGGCUACUAGCAGCAACACUACUUCAUCCAAUGAGCAGAAUCUUGCUGCUACUGUGGACGAGUUGUUCAUUGGUGAAGAAACAGUUGGAGGAUCUUCCCGCUCACCUCCUCCAGAUUCUCUCAUGACACCACCACCUCGUCAAGAGAUUGGAGCUAUUACCUGUUUAGGACAAGUGAGCAAGCCAACGGUCAAAGCUCUAGAAUCUCUUGCUCAAGCUCCAUGCAAGAAGGGAUUCUACUGGGCCAUGAGCUCCAUUGUUGAACCUCGUGGCUACCAAGUUGCUCUCUCCAAUCCUGAUGCCUCACAGUGGCAAGCAGCCAUGCAGGACGAGUAUGACUCAUUGAUCAAGAAUGGAAUCUGGACAUUGGUUCCCCUCCCUCCCGGCAGGAAGGCAGUCACAGCCAAAUGGCUGUUCAAGAAGAAAUAUCGAGCUGAUGGCAGCAUUGAGCGCUACAAGGCACACUUUGUAGCUCGUGGUUUCUCUCAGAUCCAAGGAGUUGAUUACUCUCAAACUUAUAGCCUUGUUAUAAAGCUGACAACAAUUUGUGUUUUGAUGAGUCUUGCAGUUGAGCUCGACCUGGAGCUCCAUCAACUUGAUGUGAGAACUGCAUUCCUGAAUGGUGAUCUUGAGGAGGAGGUGUAUGUUGCCCAGCCUCCUGGAUUUAUACGUCCCGGACAAGAGCAUCUAGUCUGCCGCUUGCACAAGACUAAGAGGUUCCCGUGCACGAGGAAGAGCAGCUCGGAUCCUCGGGGGUGGACGUGGGGGGGAUUGGUGCCGCCAUGAGCGUAGUCAAUGCGGGCAAAAGCUACACCAAAGGUGUUGAGACCGGGGAAAUUGUUGACACUCGCCAGCGUGACGUUGGAGCUGAGCUUGUUGUCGGUGUUCCCGGGAGUCGCCAGCAGGCUCAACUUGAAGUCCUCGGCUUUCACAUCGGCGGCCGCCUUGCAGACGACGCCGUUCACUUUGAUCUUGGAGCCAUUGUCUGCAACGCAAAAGUCCUGCAGCAUAUCUUCAUCCGCGGCAUGCACAAACAAGAUGGAGCUGAUUGCUAGGAGGAAGGAUAGAACAAAACGAAGAUGAGCCAUCUUGCGAGCUUGGAAAAGACUGAUGGAUUAUAGCCGGAGGAGGGAAGGCGAGGUCCUUUGGAUGACUUCGUCCUGAAUCGUGCACGAUUUUAGGUACACGGGCUUCUGUUCCCUUCUAUUUCAUUUCUUACUCUUGCUGUCUGCGUAACACAAUCUGAUAUUUUUGCUGCCAAGUCGUCUCGGAAGUUCUCUUUUACCAGGCUUGUCUAGAGCCGUCAAAAUCAUCUUUUCUGUGUGUAGAUGACGACCUUGGUUUUGAUGGUAGGAACUGGUCUCAGUGAAACUCGAGUUUUACACGGUCUUGCUAAAAGCUUGGCACCUUCUUGGCACCAGAGACUUUUUAUGUGUGGAGUUUUAACGUGCUGAUACAAAUAAACCAUGGGUAUAUCGACCAAAGGUACGUCUCUGUAGGUUAUCAAUUUUGCAGACAACUGUGUAGAAGGAUAGUUGCUCACAUAGUCAUGAGACAUACAUAGUCAUAGUCAUUGUGAUUAUUGCUUGCAUCAUUGUCAUGGGCAAAACCGAAUGUUUAUUGCUGUCACUUUAUUAAUCAGUUUAAUGGAAUAAACUUAUGAUAUUAAAAAGUUUUAUAAUUUGUCCCACCAUGGCAAUCUAGGAAAGCAUCCAGUUGGGGUGGUGGGAGUGAACUGGGAAAUACUCCUGUGCUGCUGUGUGAGCAUGUCAAUCAAUCAUUUAACCUCAGUAUCAGUGGUCGUUGUGGGCAGUGCAUUCUAAAGCUCUUUGGACUUGUUACGCAAAGUCCGGCACCCAUGCUGGCAUGACUCAGUCGUGACCACAAUGAGUUCUGGUUUUGAUAGGAGUGUUGUAAGCAGCAUAUGCAUCCUAGUCAGACAUAAGGUGGUCAAGAACUUUUGGAAUUCCCCACCAUUACAGAAAAACAAGGGGAAAAUAUUAAUAAUUACUUUAUUUAACUUUCACUCACCAUUUUGUCAAAGAAAAACCUAAACAAUGGUCAGUGUAUAGUUUUAUCUUAAGAGUAACAUUCCAUGAACUAGAGAGUAGAAUUUAGUUGCUCAACCAAAGUCCCACCCAUAUCCAUAACCCACGCCUUGUCCACCAGUGAAAUCAACUCUCUGCGAGGAAAGAAAAUAAGAUCCAAGCACUAAUCACGCAAGUUUACCGCAGAUCAUGGCUCACAACGAGCAACGUCCUCUCCUUCCUUAAGUACGCGAGGUAAGAAUGUAGCUUGGAAGUUUUGGUGAGGUGUUGCUGGUCUCUCUAUCUCUUGAAGCGCCCGAAGAGACAACGCAUGUUACUUUCGAUGAAUCGGCAGUUUCCCUCCCACAACCGGCCAAGGCACACAACUCGGCUUGCAAAAAUGGCGAAGAGGUUUGCAAUUUUUUUUCCUUCUCUAUAUACUGAAGUCUCAAGCUUGCAGGGGUGCCAGAAUGCUGAAACGGAUUCUACCAGCUGGUGAGCUUGUUUAUUUUCGCGUGGCUAUUGGUGAAAUUCAUGAUGUUCUUGCUUUUUAAGGUUUCUUCGACUCGACUAUGCUGCCGCGAUGCGUCCCCAUCCUGAGAAGGUGCAAAGCUUACUUGCUAAUUUUUGUAGAACUUCUAAGCUUUGCUGUUUACAGGCUCAAAGAGGGGGUGAAGAUGCUUUCUUCACUGAAGGCUCCUGGAUGGGUGUUGCUGAUGGUGUUGGGGGCUGGGCCGGAGAAGGUAAGAAAAAUCUUUCUUUGAGUCUGUUUUUCCAAGAGUUUUUACUGGUUUUCAGACAUUGAUUAGGGGAUGUAUUCUCGGGAGCUUAUGAGACAUUGUCAGGCAUUGGUUGUAAACAGCAAAGGGAAACCGGACCCCAAGGACGUGCUUGUCAAAGCCGCCGGCAGUACAAAGGCCCAGGGAUCAGCAACGGCAGGGAUCAGCAACGGUCCUUGUGGCUGCAUUGUUUGAGCAAGUAAGCUAGUCGGAUUUGAUGGUUGAGGCUGAGUCUGGUCAUAUAUUUCAGACACUGUACGCAGCAAACUUGGGAGACUCGGGGUUCAUCAUAGUUCGCAAUUGGCAAGUAGUUGCAAGCUCGGAGCCCAUGCAGCAUAGUUUUAACUUUACGUUUCAAGUUGGAACGUUUGGUGACCAUCCGACGGUUGCAGAGGUACUCUUGCUUUUCCCUUAAGUUCUCUAAUUUUCCGUCUACAGGAAUUCAAGAUCCCUGUCUGCAAGGGGGAAACCAUUGUUUUGGGAACUGAUGGCCUUUUUGACAAUCUCUUCAACAACGACAUAAUCGAAGUUCUUAAAAAAUCUCUUGGGUCCGACCAAGUCAACUUGAAGGUGAACUCUCGCUGUUGAAGAAUCUCAAGAUUGCUGAGAUUCUCUUCACUUUACAGGCAGCUGCAGCAGACCUUGUAGCUGGGGCGCAGGCCAAGCGUUUGGACAGCCCGUUUGCCAGGGCGGCUGCAAAGGCGAGAAUGAAUUGGAGUGGUGGAAAGCUAGAUGAUACCACGGCAGUUGUGGCGUUUGUGACGUGAUAUUUGAGUCGCGAAGGGUAAACAUUUCAAGCAGUUUUUGCAGGGGCCAGUGUAAAUUGCUCAGGCCGUUAAUAUUUGCGGUAUUUCCGGUUCUUUCGCUAAUUGUAUGACAUCCUUUUGAUUUGAUUCAAACCGCUCAUUCUGUUUAGAGGGAACUGCUCAAGGUCACUUGAGGUGUUAGACAUGUAGUUUAGCUGGACGAUCACGAGCAAGCUCAAGAUACUCAAGCUCUCCGGCAACAUGAUCUCUGGCUCGUCCUUCUCGGGGGUACAUCGAGCUGCUAGGCCUUUGGCACGAUGGGAUCUUUCGCGACUGCGUGGCUCUCCAGGAGCUCUUCAACAGUCUCACACCCUCGUCCAGCAGCAAACUCCAGAAUGUCAUGCUCGGAAGUGCUCGAACAACGUUUCAGAGGAGCUCGUGUGGGCUGUAUCUUGUCUCUCAGCUUGGGCAGACUCUUUGAGUUUGCUCGGAUCUCUCGGAGAACCGGUUGGAGGUUCUGAAGGACUAAGUGGUGGAAACCCUGCUCCGGUCGGAUAGCAACAAAGAGCUCACGGAGAACAGCUUGAAGGACAGCUCCAGGCGAGCUCGUGUGGAGGAUCCUUGGAUACCGCUCUUGUCCCAGUACCGUGCGACUCCACCAGAAAGAUGGUGAGGAAGGUGGCGACAAGCCAAUUGGCUGGAGCCGUGACUUCCUUCUUUGUCUCGAGUAUUUGGUCGCGUGUCCCGUCCACAUGGUGAGCCACGGAAUUGUUUCUUAGUGGUGGUGGUUGUUUCCCCGAGGUGCUGGUGGCCUAUCUCGAUUACAACUACAGGGACCAGGACAAGGCCUUCUUCUGCCAAGAUCAACAGCAAGCUCUCAACUCCAGCGCGCGGUGGAUCGUCCUCUCCUCCGGCCAGUACAUCACUCCGGCGCUCUACAACGUCCCGGCUUUCAGGAGCAAGCUCGAGGAAUGGUUCCCAUAGCAGGAGGCCAUCUUCCAUCUCCUGGUGAGGUACCUGUUGCUUCCCAGUGACUUCGUGUGGGACAAGGCGGCCAGGUACUACGACGCGUACCUGGCCCAGGCCGAGCUUCUAGUCGGGGUCCAGCUGCAAAACCACAUCUGGUUCUCGCCACCCAACCUCGCCGAGGAUACAUUCGACUGCCUGGUGCAACAAGGCGCGCUCGCAAACACCACCCAGGAGCGAGCUCCCAGAUCGUCGGUGAGGAAGAACAGCAAGAAGGUGGCGGUGCUGGUGGUGUCGCUCAACUCUCAGUACUCGGAGACGCUCAAGAGCAAGGUGCUGGGAUACGAUCUAGCGGACGGCUCCUCGGUGUCCAUCCACCAGCCGAGCGUGGAGGGCGUGGAAAACACGAAGAACUUGGAUCACGACGCACAGGCGGUGAUGAAGAUCUAGUUGCUGUCGAUGAGCGAUGUCCUGGUGACGAGCCCGCCAUCCACGUUUGGCUACUCGGCGGCGGGGCUGGCGGGCGUGAGGCCCGUGCAGUUCGUGUGCGACCAGAACAAGAGCGUGGUUUGCUCGGUGAGGGAGACGAUGGAGCCGUGCUACCACGUUUAUCCGGCUCAGUUCGCAUUGAAAAGUGCGAAUGCAGCGUGGGUUUCAGACUAGUCUAUAGAAAGUUCUUAAAGCUUUUAAAAUUUUAUUUUCUUUCUCGUGAUAGAUUUCUAAGUUGCUCCUUGGCUGCAUGAUGCAAAUCUAGCGUCAUUUGUAGAUUUGCGUGGUCAGGUCAUGCUCUUGGCCCACGCAAAGUUGCGCCAAGGCUGCCUUGAAAUCCAGGUAAUUUGGUACCAAGAGCUUAUAGACUUCAAAUGGCGAGCUGUCUUUUGGGCAGGACUUUGAAAAACUGCUCGUAGAGUGUUCUGGCUUGGAAGCUAACGAGUCUUGUUUUGACAGAUGGCACGUGCAAAGGACUUGACUGUUUACCAAGCCCGGUGGAGAACUUUCUGUGUGAAUGAAUAUAAAGCACUGGAGGCCCAUUGGAUCCAAUCGUAGCAGAGCAAGCACAGCUCUUGGUUCUUAUACAACGAUAUCAUCACUACGUUUAGUGCUUUUGUGGCUGGAAUGGAUCGUGGAAGGAUACUUCUUGCCAUCACAUUGGUGAUCAUGAUCAGCGGCAACAUCGAUUGUUCCAGGCCAGGCUCGUUUUCGGUGAUGAGCCAACAGGCCGAGCUUUUCAAUUUCGAAUUGCGCCUUCCUGUUGUUAACAAGAUCCACACUCUUCUCGAAAGGACCUCCCGGAGAAUGCUCACCCAGGAUCAGCCCACGCCAGCUCCCGGCCCUUCCGGGUGCUGCCACGAUAAGUGAAGAGGCGGACAGCCACGUGGCUGACACGUCACUCUAGGAGACACGUCAGGCUCUUUCCAUCUGGCGGCGAAUUCUCCUCCAAAUCCUCCACUCCUUUCCCCAUUCUUCCCCACCUCCGCUCCCUCCCAUUACAGUCACACAUCAAUUUACCCAGCUUGCGUCCAUGAGGCGCUUGUCUCACCAAGGUGAAGGGGAAUGAUAAAGGCAACUUUCCAUUUUUCCUUGACUUGGGAGCUGCGUGGAAUUCCUAGAAGUUCCACUCCAGCAAGUAAAGUCUCCACAAGACUUUCAGGGAUGUCUUGCACAGCUGCGAGCAAUCAGCCGUGGUGGUGGCUUGCCCUUGUUCUGGCGAGAAGAUCUGCAAAGAGGAGCGGCUGCAGUGAGUCUUGAAGAUUCGCAGGUCGUUCGGAUUGGGCAUUGGGCAGCACUGGCAAAGGCAGAUUUUCUCCCACUUGACGUGAUGGAGUCUCAUUGAAAUGCACGUCUGGUGAGAUGGUCAGCGCCUUUGAGACAGGAUUGUCGAUCUUGUAAGCCUUGUGUUCAAUGCUAUAGCCUAGAAAAAUGCCUCGUUCGCUUGUUCGAGUGAGUUUUUUUCUAGUUUUAGAGGGGAUAUGGACGCUAUGGAAGGUGCACUAAUCCGUUCGAAUUCCACUUUGUGCAAGAACCUUUGACAAUCCUGGACCUCAACAUUGGCAAACACUUAAACGUAGAUUUGUUUUCUUACAGUCUUAAGGCCACGAGUCAAGCUUACGGGGCUGGCUUUGGCUAAAUUGUUUAGCCUUCACAAUGCAGUUGGCAGCGAGAAGCAGAGCGUCGUUGCCUGCUCCAGCUGUGAGGCGGAGGCUAGUUCCGCAUGCAAAGAGGCCAUCUGGCUUCGCCGCCUCCUCAACGACCACCCGGCCCAACACCAAUCUACAGUGACAAUCAAGGCUACAUCGCCUUGAGCAAACAUCACAAGAUUAAUUCCCGGACGAAACACACACCACGCUGGGAGACACGUCCAGUUCUUUCCAUGUUCUUGUGAUUCCAAUCUUAAUAAUGCAAUCUUAAUUGAACAUCACCACAGCCUGGAAAUCGAGUGCACUGCUCAUCCC